UCUCCGGUGUCCUAGUGGUUAGAGCGUCCGCCUCGGAUGCGUGAGGUCAUGAGUUCGAUCCCAGGUCGAAUCAUACCAGAG
Non-coding RNA from Potamilus streckersoni, 81 nucleotides. The record is from the annotation of a GenBank genome assembly. Lineage: Eukaryota; Metazoa; Mollusca; Bivalvia; Unionida; Unionidae.